CCAGAGUGGAUCCUGAGUACGGCGGAACACGUGAAAUUCCGUCGGAAUCCGGGAGGACCAUCUCCCAAGGCUAAAUACUCCCUAGUGACCGAUAGUGAACCAGUACCGUGAGGGAAAGGUGAAAAGCACCCCGGAAGGGGAGUGAAACAGUUCCUGAAACCGUGUGCCUACAAGUAGUUAGAGCCCGUUAAUGGGUGAUAGCGUGCCUUUUGUAGAAUGAACCGGCGAGUUACGAUUUGUUGCAAGGUUAAGCGGAAAAAGCGGAGCCGUAGCGAAAGCGAGUCUGAAUAGGGCGCAUAAGUAACAGGUCGUAGACCCGAAACCAGGUGAUCUACCCAUGUCCAGGAUGAAGGUAAGGUAAUACUUACUGGAGGUCCGAACCCACGCACGUUGAAAAGUGCGGGGAUGAGGUGUGGGUAGCGGAGAAAUUCCAAUCGAACUUGGAGAUAGCUGGUUCUCUCCGAAAUAGCUUUAGGGCUAGCCUCGAGGUAAAGAGUCAUGGAGGUAGAGCACUGUUUGGACUAGGGGCCCUUCUCGGGUUACCGAAUUCAGAUAAACUCCGAAUGCCAUGUACUUAUACUCGGGAGUCAGACUGCGAGUGAUAAGAUCCGUAGUCGAAAGGGAAACAGCCCAGACCACCAGUUAAGGUCCCCAAAUAUAUGUUAAGUGGAAAAGGAUGUGGGGUUGCUUAGACAACCAGGAUGUUGGCUUAGAAGCAGCCACCAUUGAAAGAGUGCGUAAUAGCUCACUGGUCGAGUGACCCCGCGCCGAAAAUGUACCGGGGCUAAACAUAUUACCGAAACUGUGGAUGAACCUCUUUAGAGGUUCGUGGUAGGAGAGCGUUCUAAGGGCGGUGAAGUCAGACCGGAAGGACUGGUGGAGCGCUUAGAAGUGAGAAUGCCGGUAUGAGUAGCGAAAGAAGGGUGAGAAUCCCUUCCACCGAAUAUCUAAGGUUUCCUGAGGAAGGCUCGUCCGCUC
This 978-nucleotide ribosomal RNA is filed under the name Listeria monocytogenes. RNAcentral's name for it is "partial 23S ribosomal RNA". It matches the Rfam family "Bacterial large subunit ribosomal RNA", at positions 396 to 1375 of the family's 2925-position model. Lineage: Bacteria; Bacillati; Bacillota; Bacilli; Caryophanales; Listeriaceae. The record is from RNAcentral.